UCUUUCUUUCUUUCUUUCUUUCUUUCUUUCUUUCUUUCUUUCUUUCUUUCUUUCUUUCUUUCUUUCUUUCUUUCUUCCUUUCUUCCUUUCUUCCUUUCUUCCUUUCUUCCUUUCUUCCUUUCUUCCUUUCUUCCUUUCUUCCUUUCUUCCUUUCUUCCUUUCUUCCUUCCUUUCUUCCUUCCUUUCUUCCUUCCUUUCUUCCUUCCUUUCUUCCUUUCUUCCUUUCUUCCUUUCUUUUUUCCUAUUUUUUUUUUCUUUUUCUUUUUAAGAUGCUAUUUGGAAGUAGAAUAGAAUAUCUAAGAUUUGUCUCUUACAAGAAGAUAACCAUUUUUUGCUAGUUCUCUGCCUCUUCAUUCAUGGAGACAGUAUCCAUUCAAAAGGUGAAACUGAUUGCAGGAAAGGACAGCUUUAUCAAUUUCUUUAAAUG
This 427-nucleotide long non-coding RNA is filed under the name Gallus gallus (chicken). The record is from RNAcentral. Lineage: Eukaryota; Metazoa; Chordata; Aves; Galliformes; Phasianidae.